GUGGGGAAUCUUAGACAAUGGGGGAAACCCUGAUCUAGCCAUGCCGCGUGAGCGAUGAAGGCCUUAGGGUUGUAAAGCUCUUUCAGCUGGGAAGAUAAUGACGGUACCAGCAGAAGAAGCCCCGGCUAACUCCGUGCCAGCAGCCGCGGUAAUACGGAGGGGGCUAGCGUUGUUCGGAAUUACUGGGCGUAAAGCGCACGUAGGCGGAUCAGAAAGUCAGAGGUGAAAUCCCAGGGCUCAACCUUGGAACUGCCUUUGAAACUCCUGGUCUUGAGGUCGAGAGAGGUGAGUGGAAUUCCGAGUGUAGAGGUGAAAUUCGUAGAUAUUCGGAGGAACACCAGUGGCGAAGGCGGCUCACUGGCUCGAUACUGACGCUGAGGUGCGAAAGCGUGGAGAGCAAACAGGAUUAGAUACCCGUGUAGUCC
RNAcentral lists this ribosomal RNA (425 nucleotides) under uncultured bacterium. Its description in RNAcentral is "partial 16S ribosomal RNA". It matches the Rfam family "Bacterial small subunit ribosomal RNA", at positions 354 to 796 of the family's 1533-position model. The record is from RNAcentral.